UCCGCAGUAGGCUCAGUGGUAGACCUAUCGGCUGUUAACCGAUCGGUCGUAGGUUCGAAUCCUACCUGCGGAGCCA
RNAcentral lists this transfer RNA (76 nucleotides) under Bacillus halotolerans. RNAcentral's name for it is "tRNA-Asn". It matches the Rfam family "tRNA". From Rfam's summary of the family: Transfer RNA (tRNA) molecules are approximately 80 nucleotides in length. Their secondary structure includes four short double-helical elements and three loops (D, anti-codon, and T loops). The record is from RNAcentral. Lineage: Bacteria; Bacillati; Bacillota; Bacilli; Caryophanales; Bacillaceae.